GUAUGGGUAGGUCUAGGUAUAAUCAGUGUCAGAACCCUGCUAUACUGUAUCCACGGUAACAGUAUGGGUAGGUCUAGGUAUAAUCAGUGUCAGAACCCUGCUAUACUGUAUCCACGGUAACAGUAUGGGUAGGUCUAGGUAUAAUCAGUGUCAGAUCCCUGCUAUACUGUAUCCACGGUAACAGUCUGGGUAGGUCUAGGUGUAAUCAGUGUCAGAACCCUGCUAUACCGUAUCCACGGUAACAGUCUAGGUAGGUCUAGGUGUAAUCAGUGUCAGAUCCCUGCUAUACUGUAUCCACGGUAACAGUCUAGGUAGGUCUAGGUGUAAUCAGUGUCAGAUCCCUGCUAUACUGUAUCCACGGUAACAGUAUGGGUAGGUCUAGGUGUAAAUCAGUGUCAGAACCCUGCUUUACCGUAUCCACGGUAACAGUCUAGGUAGGUCUAGGUGUAAUCAGUGUCAGAACCCUGCUAUACCGUAUCCACGGUAACAGUCUAGGUAGGUCUAGGUGUAAUCAGUGUCAGAACCCUGCUAUACCGUAUCCACGGUAACAGUCUGGGUAGGUCUAGGUGUAAUCAGUGUUUACCCUUCAUUAAAACACACAUCUUUCAUAGUGUGGUCCACUGCUCCCUUUCUAUCUAGUCACAUGCUUCUCAUAUUUCACUAGUCUUAUGAAAACUACAAACAAAAAUCCUAGGAAAAACGCAACAAAGAAAACCAAAAAUCUGUAAGCAGCGCAAGUGUUUAGUCCAUAAGCAGAAUACCAUGUGCCUUUUAUCAGUACAUGGUUAGGGAGGCAAUGGUUCACACGGUCUACAGUACACAACGAUAAACUAGUCAACGUUCUUUUGAAGCUUUGGUGUGUGUUUCUGUAUAAGAUAACCUGUUGACAUGGCAGCUGUGGACCUACGAACCGUGGCAAGUCGCAACACAGAUAUCUUGUCGCUGCCCGAGGAGGGCACCGUGUCGAAACACCUACAGCGGUCAAAUCAUGGUCCAAACUGAAUGGUAGAACAUGGCUCAGAACUCAGGAAGAAUAUCAGACCCACCACUUCUCUAAAAUGUAAAAGUGAAGUUGAUCGAGCCACUGAUGGACAGGUGACCCAGUGUUAACGAAAUGUGAUUGUUAGUUAUGGUCUCUACACAGUCUAAACUCGUACAAUAUAUACUUAACAAUUUUUUUUUUUAAAGGCAACAUGUAAAAUGUUGGUCCCAUGUUUCAUGAGCUAAAAGAGAAGAUCCCAGACAUUUUCCAUGCGCCAAAAAAAAAAAAAAGACGCGUAUUUCUCUCAAAUUUUGUUCACUAAUCUGUCUACAUCCCUGUUACUGAGCAUUUCUCCUUUGCCAAGAUAAUCCAUCCACCUGACAGGUGUGGCAUAUGAAGAAGCUGAUUAAAUAGCAUGAUCAUUACACAGGUGUACCUUGUGCUGGGGGACAAUACAAAUCCACUCUAAAACGUGCAGACCCCAUGUAUGGCGUCGUGUGGGCAAGUGGUUUGCCCCAUGGUGGCGGUGGGGUUAUGGUAUGGGCAGGUGUAAGUUUACGGACAACAAACAAAAUUGCAUUUUAUCGAUGCCAAUUUGAAUGUAGAGAAAUACUGUGACAAGCUCCUGAGGUAUCUGUGACCAAUAGAUG
Molecule: long non-coding RNA, 1632 nt
Organism: Oncorhynchus tshawytscha (Chinook salmon)
Lineage: Eukaryota; Metazoa; Chordata; Actinopteri; Salmoniformes; Salmonidae
Source: Ensembl